Molecule: ribosomal RNA, 197 nt
Filed under: uncultured bacterium
Lineage: Bacteria
Description: partial 16S ribosomal RNA
Rfam family: Bacterial small subunit ribosomal RNA
Source: RNAcentral
ACGCUCGACACCUACGGGGGCAGCAGUGGGGAAUAUUGCACAAUGGGGGAAACCCUGAUGCAGCAACGCCGCGUGAAGGAAGACGGUUUUCGGAUUGUAAACUUCUGUUCUUAGUGAAGAUAGUGACGGUAGCUAAGGAGCAAGCCACGGCUAACUACGUGCCGGCAGCCGCGGUAAUCUGAGCGGGCUGGCAAGGC